UAACAGAUUUUAAUAUCUUUGCAUCUUUUUGUGUCACUUUUUGUACAUCUUCAUGUCUUUUCUUUGUUUCCCUUCAGUAUUUUCAGCUGAGUACAUCCGUUUGUUUCUCAAAGACGACCUUUGUUUUCUAUUCAUUUAUCCAUACUGAUGCACUCUGAGGCCAGUGUGCAUUUUUCUGUGGACAUUUCAUGUGUGUUUAUGGUGACUUUGUUUUCUUUUAACGUUUCAAGUCGUCAGCUUCUGGACAUUAAAAGAAAAUCCAUCUUUUGUGUUUCCUUCUUGAUAUUUGCUUUAGAUUGUGGACAUUUCGUGUAUAUUUGUAGUGAUUUUUUAAAAAAUAUGUCUUCUUUUCUUUUUUUUUUAAUUUGGUUUUCACAGUGUGUCAAGUUUUGUCUCUGUUUUCUCCAUUUUAACCUCUUAGCUUCUGUCUCCGAGUUUCUGUCUGUGCAUUUAGUGGAGGCGUUUUCUAUAAAGCUGUAAGUUUGAGUCUGUGAAUCUGAUUUUAAGACUGAUAUUUGUGUCAAUAGUCUUUGUGGCUGUUUGCUUCAGUUUGAAGUCUUUUUGCAUCCAUUUCUUUAUACUGAACAUUUUUUAACCCUAGUCUUUACUUCUCAACCCCUUUUGUUGAAAUCUUUUAGGCUCUGUUUGUUUUCGCCUUUGUGUUGCUCUGAUUUCUGAUUUGGCUUUUUUGGUCUAAAUUAAAAAUUUCACAUCAUGUGGUAAUUUGCUUUGCUGGGAAGGUUUCUGAAAAUCUGUGGAUAUGAAUCUGUGCCUCUCGGCUUUCUGUCAGUUUCUUCAAACUGAGGCUGACUGGUUUCUGGUAGGUCUGUACAUUUUUAGUUGUUAAACCUCACCUCCACCCUCUGACUGAUUGUUCUCAAUCGUUUUAAGACAACUUUAAGAGUUCAGGGCUCAAUUAUUGCAUGAAUGACCUGUUGAGGUGAUGAUUUACUUUGAGACGUGGCGACGAGGAGGAGAGGAAAGCAGGAAGAAGAGGAGUGAGGCAUUAAGUCGGCCUGGAUUCGUCCUCUCUUUCUCUCUUUGUGGCACCAAAUCUGCCGAGC
Molecule: long non-coding RNA, 1064 nt
Organism: Astatotilapia calliptera (eastern happy)
Lineage: Eukaryota; Metazoa; Chordata; Actinopteri; Cichliformes; Cichlidae
Source: Ensembl